RNAcentral lists this ribosomal RNA (497 nucleotides) under uncultured bacterium. Its description in RNAcentral is "partial 16S ribosomal RNA". It matches the Rfam family "Bacterial small subunit ribosomal RNA", at positions 28 to 507 of the family's 1533-position model. The record is from RNAcentral.
GACGAACGCUGGCGGCGUGCCUAAUACAUGCAAGUUGAGCGCUGAAGGUUGGUACUUGUACCCACUGGAUGAGCAGCGAACGGGUGAGUAACGCGUGGGGAAUCUGCCUUUGAGCGGGGGACAACAUUUGGAAACGAAUGCUAAUACCGCAUAAAAACUUUAAACACAAGUUUUAAGUUUGAAAGAUGCAAUUGCAUCACUCAAAGAUGAUCCCGCGUUGUAUUAGCUAGUUGGUGAGGUAAAGGCUCACCAAGGCGAUGAUACAUAGCCGACCUGAGAGGGUGAGCGGCCACAUUGGGACUGAGACACGGCCCAAACUCCUACGGGAGGCAGCAGUAGGGAAUCUUCGGCAAUGGACGAAAGGCUGACCGAGCAACGCCGCGUGAGUGAAGAAGGUUUUCGGAUCGUAAAACUCGGUUGGUAGAGAAGAACGUUGGUGAGAGUGGAAAGCUCAUCAAGUGACGGUAACUACCCAGAAAGGGACGGCUAACUACGUG